AAAAAAUGACCCUGGGGUUCGAUUAGUGCAAAUAAAUAUGUUUCUGUGUGGUUGCUAGAAGUGACUUGCAUAUUCAUAGGAUUAUCUCCAAAUAAACUAUUGAUUUAAGUAAUUCAAACAUAUUAAGAACAAAAACUCAGUUUAGUGAACAAUUUCAGUUCUAGAACAUGAAUAUUGAUGUUCAAUGCUUGUUUGGAAUAGAUGACUGCCUGUCUCUCAAAGCAUCAUCUAUAAAUAGUAGGUCUGCAAUCUGACUUUUAGUAAAGGUUAUAUAGCAGAUACCCCAGGAUUGCAUUUUUCUGGGAAGAACAUGGCAUCCGGAGAUCCUGUAUAGUCUAUAAAAGGGUUAUCUUUAUGCUUUCAUAAUCAGAUGAGAAGGGUUGAUUUAAAGUGUUCCUAAAAUACUGCAGAGAGCUAAUGAAGUUAUUUGACUGCACAGAUAGUGUUUCCCUUCCUUGUGGAGGAGGUUUAAGGUACAGGUAUAGACAGAAUCACAUGUAAAGUGUUAUGAUAGCAUAGUGAAAUGAUAGCUCCUAAAAUAUUCUACUACAGCAUUUAUUUGAAGUGUAAUCUGAGAUUUCCACUGUACUAAGUUACAAGGGUUACAAGGCUGCUUUUUUUUAGUAUCUGAUUCAUUUGGAUGGAGGACUGAGUGUGAAUACUCUACAUGGUUAUGGGCUUCUAUUUUCCCACUUUAUAUUGAAUGGAUAUGAAGACUUUAAAAUAAGAUUUUCUGUCUGCACAGAGGAUCCGUUGCUACUACUUAGAAGCCUAAUAAAUCCCAGAGAUGCAAAUAAUGAUCACUUAAUGAGGGUUUCUGGAGUUCCUAUCACCUUUAUGACCCUAAUACCCUAUUAAAAGUUGAAGAUCUUGAUUGCAUUUGAUUGCAUGUUGGUAUCUUCAGCUGUCAAAAAGCCAGAACGGAACAUCAGAAGGAAGAUUGAAUGGAUUUCCUUUCAUUACCUCUGCAAGGGACUAAUUUUUUUUUUAUUUAUAUGACUAUUCUAACUAUGGCAGAAUUUUAUGAUAAGGAAAAAUAAAUUGUACCCUAAGGUAAUAUUCCUAUUUUGA
This 1071-nucleotide long non-coding RNA is filed under the name Oryctolagus cuniculus (rabbit). RNAcentral describes it as "lncRNA (ENSOCUG00000032827.1)". The record is from RNAcentral. Lineage: Eukaryota; Metazoa; Chordata; Mammalia; Lagomorpha; Leporidae.